RNAcentral lists this ribosomal RNA (837 nucleotides) under Streptomyces sp. 3SH4_16. RNAcentral's name for it is "bacterial SSU rRNA". It matches the Rfam family "Bacterial small subunit ribosomal RNA", at positions 152 to 996 of the family's 1533-position model. Lineage: Bacteria; Bacillati; Actinomycetota; Actinomycetes; Kitasatosporales; Streptomycetaceae. The record is from RNAcentral.
GGAAACGGGGUCUAAUACCGGAUAACACCCUCGGGGGCAUCCCUGAGGGUUGAAAGCUCCGGCGGUGCAGGAUGAGCCCGCGGCCUAUCAGCUUGUUGGUGGGGUGAUGGCCUACCAAGGCGACGACGGGUAGCCGGCCUGAGAGGGCGACCGGCCACACUGGGACUGAGACACGGCCCAGACUCCUACGGGAGGCAGCAGUGGGGAAUAUUGCACAAUGGGCGAAAGCCUGAUGCAGCGACGCCGCGUGAGGGAUGACGGCCUUCGGGUUGUAAACCUCUUUCAGCAGGGAAGAAGCGAAAGUGACGGUACCUGCAGAAGAAGCGCCGGCUAACUACGUGCCAGCAGCCGCGGUAAUACGUAGGGCGCAAGCGUUGUCCGGAAUUAUUGGGCGUAAAGAGCUCGUAGGCGGCUUGUCACGUCGGUUGUGAAAGCCCGGGGCUUAACCCCGGGUCUGCAGUCGAUACGGGCAGGCUAGAGUGUGGUAGGGGAGAUCGGAAUUCCUGGUGUAGCGGUGAAAUGCGCAGAUAUCAGGAGGAACACCGGUGGCGAAGGCGGAUCUCUGGGCCAUUACUGACGCUGAGGAGCGAAAGCGUGGGGAGCGAACAGGAUUAGAUACCCUGGUAGUCCACGCCGUAAACGUUGGGAACUAGGUGUUGGCGACAUUCCACGUCGUCGGUGCCGCAGCUAACGCAUUAAGUUCCCCGCCUGGGGGAGUACGGCCGCAAGGCUAAAACUCAAAGGAAAUUGACGGGGGCCCGCACAAGCAGCGGGAGCAUGUGGGCUUAAUUCGACGCAACGCGAAGAACCUUACCAAGGCUUGACAUACACCGGAAA